CAAGUCAGCUCUUAACACUAUCCCUACUUGAAGGUGCUGAAAUUGCUAUUUGAUUUAGAUGAAAAUCGAGGCGAUUAGGAAAUAGAAAUCGAGCUUUCAACUCAAAUAUUAGUGAAGCAUUUAAAAGGUCCAAAAUGUCUCUGAGUUACUAAUACAGGGAAGUUUUUAAGAAAUGCUGUUUUUGAGCCUAAUGGCUUAUAAUCUCUAUUUCAAAUUUAUUAGCACAGAGUGCUCUAAUUCACAAAUAAUUAACAUUGCCUCUUUUUAUAAAACACCGAUAAAUUUUAUUUUAAAAAGGAACCCUCUAAAAGGAGGUCAAAGGUUAGUUGGUCUCUAAAUGAUAAUACGUUUAUCAGCAAAAUAAACUGAGAAAUAAUAUGCACAUAAAGGCCAAUAUGUUCUCACUGUCUCAAAUUCCUACAAAAACACAAUGAAUUUGACAAUCCAUGCUGCCUUUGCACAAAAAAAGGACUUUUUUUCCUUUUUUGUGAGCUGAAGAAGACUGUGCCAAUAUAAACGUCUGCUUUUCAUCCUCUGAGCAGCCCAGGGCAACAGUGUUAUCUCUGACCCAGGGACAUGUUUUUAGAAGCAUUGGAUCCCCUUCACACAAAAUUAAUGAGCAGUGUAUUUUCAAAUCUUUUCUAAGUGCUCUCCUCUCGGUUGCUCCAACCCUACUUCCACCCCAUUUGCUAAAUGAAAUGGUUGCACAAGAUUUUAUUGUCUGGAUGUACUACAGUUUAUUUAUUGAUUCACCUACUGAAGGACCUCUUGAUUACCACUACUUUUGGCAAUUAUUAAUAAAGCUGCUGUAAACAUCUGUGUGCAGGUUUUUUUGUUUUCUUUUUUUUUUGGAGGGCAUACAUUUUCAGUUCAUUUGAGUAAAUACCAAGAAGUGUGAUUGCCAAAUUGUAUGCCAAGAGUAUGUUUGCCUUUUGGAGAGAACAGUCUAGCAGAAAUGUGAAAGGUAGAACAGAAGCACGCCAUGCAGGCCUGAGGAAGGAAGCCAAAGUGGGUCAGGGUGGGAGGUGGCAAGCCUCAAAUGUGAACAUGGCAGCGGGAAUGGAGAGAGAGCAGAGUUUCAGAGAUAGUACAGAGAUAUAUAGACAAGGCUCCAAUGACUAACU
Molecule: long non-coding RNA, 1124 nt
Filed under: Pan troglodytes (chimpanzee)
Lineage: Eukaryota; Metazoa; Chordata; Mammalia; Primates; Hominidae
Description: long non-coding RNA NONPTRT016663
Source: RNAcentral